This 271-nucleotide ribosomal RNA is filed under the name uncultured prokaryote. Its description in RNAcentral is "partial 16S ribosomal RNA". It matches the Rfam family "Bacterial small subunit ribosomal RNA", at positions 524 to 794 of the family's 1533-position model. The record is from RNAcentral.
UACGGAGGAUCCGAGCGUUAUCCGGAUUUAUUGGGUUUAAAGGGUGCGCAGGCGGGAGAUUAAGUCGGCGGUGAAAUUUUGCGGCUCAACCGUAAAAGUGCCUUCGAUACUGGUGGUCUUGAGUGUGGAUGAGGUAGGCGGAAUUUGUGGUGUAGCGGUGAAAUGCAUAGAUAUCACGAGGAACUCCGAUUGCGCAGGCAGCUUACUAAACUACUACUGACGCUCAGGCACGAAGGCGUGGGGAUCAAACAGGAUUAGAUACCUCCGUAGU